Long non-coding RNA from Neltuma alba, 495 nucleotides. RefSeq lists it as uncharacterized. The record is from RefSeq and is a predicted model, not a curated record. The transcript is spliced from 2 exons. NCBI's taxonomy places the organism in Eukaryota, Viridiplantae, Streptophyta, Magnoliopsida, Fabales, Fabaceae.
UUAGUGAACUGGUGGACUUGCAGAGAUUUUUCCCUUGAAGUACAAACGUCAGCAUUAGACUCCCCAUGAUUUAUUCUUUUGGUUCAAUUUCUAGGUGCCAUAUCAUGUUCUCAGUGCAAAGGAAGUGGAGUUAAUUCUGUAGAUCACUUCAAUGGGCAGUUUAAAGCUGGUGGACUAUGUUGGCUUUGCAGGGGUAAGAAACAGGUUUUGUGUGGAGAGUGUAAUGGAGCUGGUUUUCUGGGAGGAUUCUUGAGCUCAUUUGAUGAUUAGAGUCGCAAGAUUGCCUAUAGAGAGAAAAGGUGGAUCAAAUGUUCCUCUGUUGAUUUUUGUUUGUUUUGUUUCUAAAUAUUGCCAUAUGUAAUUGUGUCUGUAAGAAACAGCAUCUGUUUCACGGUUUUCACAAUAUUACCUUGAAGCAAGGGAAGUGUAGAAUCGUUUUGUAUUGAUUGAUGUUUAUGACUUCAUUCAGUGCAUACCUGCUAGAUUUUUCCAAUA